Long non-coding RNA from Caretta caretta (loggerhead turtle), 2978 nucleotides. RefSeq lists it as uncharacterized. The record is from RefSeq and is a predicted model, not a curated record. Lineage: Eukaryota; Metazoa; Chordata; Testudines; Cheloniidae.
CGGCGGCGACCCCACGGGGUCGGUGACAGUGGGGCAGUCCGCAGCGGGCACGGUGCAAGCGGGCGACCGCACGGGGGGGCGGGGCCAGGACCGCCCUUCCCCGGGGACUCAGGUUCAGCUAAACUUCUCCCUGCUGUUCAUCCAUGAGCUGAUCUCAUUCAAGACUGGGCCAGCUUGUUGGCAGUGGUGUGGUCAUAUAUGGUAAAGGAUAGAGCACACAGACGAAUUCCAGUUCUAGUGACGACGUACCCAUUUUGUCGACGUUCAACAACCCAAUCAUUGAGAUCUUUCUCCAUCUCAGGAAAUGAAGCGCACCUCGUUGGACAUUUUUUCUUGCUUCUUAGCAUGUCUUUUAGUGUUGUUUUAUUUUUUUGCCAUUCUCUUAUUUGCUUCUCAUUGAUACAGAAUUCACGAGCAGCAGUGCAAUUAUUGUUUGCUUCUGCAUAUUCAACAACUUUAAGUUUGAAAGCUGCAUUAUAAGCAGACCAUUUUCUUUUGAUUUCAUCGUUCAUUUUAAAUACUAGUAUGAAAAUCUUAGAAAAUAAUAAUUUAGUUAUAGAUUUUGUAGGACUUUAUAUAGGAAUGUCACCUGCUUUAUCACUGUCAAAUUAUUAUUGUUCUUUGUUUAUUUCAAAGCAGCCCUGUAGAUUGGCACGUCUGUCACGAUAACAGGCUAUUUAAAUUUUAUUACAGAUUCCAUCGAUUCUGCACAUUAUAUUUUCAGAUUGGCUCGAAACUUACAAGUACCAUUGGUAGAAAUACAUGAAGAGAUCAAAUUACAGAGUAAUGGACUGACACCAGUGCCAUAGUACUAUCAUUCAUUGUGUUUUUCUGAUUGGCUUGUAAGGUGAAGCAUUUUGUGAAAUGCAUGGGUCAAAUGUCAUGCAGAUCUGUAGCACUGCUCUUUUAGCAUUCAUUUCAAGCCAAUCUAGUCCACGAAACAAAGCCUUUGCAACUUUAAACAGCUGCAAUAUUGACAUCAAUAAAUUAUUUGACGAUCAAUAUAAGUACGCGCUAUAAAAAUAAUUAUAAUAUAGUCCUGUAGUAGAACAAUACUAAGAAAAGUAAACAGCUAGUACUAGGAAAAUUGAACUUUACGGAAGCACAUGUUUUAAGUUCUUUAUUUACAUGGACAUGAACUGAGAAAAAUUAUAUAAUCGAUAUCCAAUGUUUUAUUUAUAUUAAUACUUCUUUUAUCUCAAUUAUAACAUAACAAAUAUACAAUUUAAGUAAAAAUAAAAUUUUAGAACAUUUGUAAAGAAGCAAAUCCAGAAUUGACGUUCCAUCAUCAGUGGUCUACAACAGGGGUCGGCAAACUUUGGCUCCUGGCCUGUCAGGGUAAGCCGCUGGCGGGCCGGGACAUUUUGUUAGGUAAACGUCCCAGCCCGCCAGUGGCUUACCCUGGUGGGCCGGGAGCCGAAGUUUGCCGACCCCUGAAAUAUAGGGUCGGCUUAUGAAAGGGUCAUACAGUUUUUGCCAUUUUUACCUACCCAUUUUGGGGGGUCGGCUUAUAAUGAAUGCGUAUAUAUAGUACUUUUUUAUUCAUCAGAACUAUGAUGAUUGUGAAAAGUGGAUAAAGGAAGAUUGUACAAACAGACUAAAGAUGUGCCAUACAGAUCUACGUAUAUUCUAAGUGUACUUUGUACUGGCAAAUCUAUGUGUGAGCCUGCAUGGCAUGUAACAAACAGUUUGAAGCCAUUGUGUUUUAAAAAGUACUGUCUUUUGGAUGGGACAUAAAAUUAAGGUCCUGGCCAUUUGCAUACACUAAAAGCUCCAUUGCAGUUUUUUGCAAGAGAAGGGGUUUUAGCUCCAGUGACAUGAGCAAAUUCCAAUUUGGGCAAUUAAAUUCUGCCUACCUAAAAUUAUCCUUAAUGUUAGUUCUUCACCUCCUAAAUAGUUGUGCACUGUUGCAUUAUGCAAGUUAAACUUUUGCUGCAGUGUACUUCAGAGUUGAUAGCAUUUUGGUAGAUAAUGUAAUUAAUUAUAUUACUGUGUAUUGCAGCAGGGUUUCUCAGCUGUGUUCUUCCUGAGGCCCCCCCCAACAUGCUAUAAAAACUCCACGGCCCACCUGUGCCACAACAACUGUGUUUCUGCAUAUAAAAGCCAGGGCCAGCGUUAGGGGGUAGCAGUCAGGGCAAUUGCCAGUUGCCCAGGCUUCAGCGUCAGCCCCGGGUGGUGGGGCUCGGGGCCCUGGGCUUCAGCCCCAUGAGGUGGGGCUUCAUCUUUCUGCCCUGGGCCCCAGCAAGUCUAAUGCUAGCCCUGCUUGACGGACCCCCUGAAAAUGGCUUGCAGCCCCCAAGCGGGCCCUGGACCCCUGGUUGAGAAACACUGUAUCAUAGUAUAUUCAUUCAUAUGUUACAUUAUGAUAUAAUAUGUGUGAUUCAUGAUAUGUAUAUGUAAUAUAUAUUAAAUGUUGCAUAGUUUUUUGUUAUAAGAUGAAUGAUAAUAUUUCUAGCAUCUCAGAACAGGAAAUGCUGUGAAAGAUUGCCUGUUUCUCUGCAUCUCACCAUGCUCAUGGUGUUCUACUUUGAAGAACAUGAAUUCUGUGAGUCUCUCAUUUUGUUCCUGCUGGUCUUGAAAAAUGUUAAGGACCCUCAAAGCAUCCAGGAUUUGAAUGUCAGCUGUUGAACUGUCCUGUAGGCCUAACAAUUCAGUGUUAUAUUAUUCCUGAGGAGGUGACAGAAUCUCACUUUCAGGUGUCACUAAAACAUAAAGGAUUUCCAGUGUGUAUAGACUUGAAUGGAAGAAACUGUACUCUGCGAUCAUGAGAAAACAGAUAAAUGUGCCAGAGGAGAUCUGCUACCACUUCAACUGUUUAAUGUCCCCAAGAUUCAAACCCAAUGUAACAAGUGAAACAUGAUAACAUGAUUUUUUUUUAAAGUAGUGGCAGUAAAUGCGUGAUUGUGAUGUUUGCUUGAAGUUUUGUUACUGUUGUUAUUAUGGUUUGUUUUCAGAUACCAAGAGAAAAUAAAUAUUAA